UAAGAUACUUAGAGAAAUAUCUCAAAGUUGUGUCCAAAUAUCAAUCACUUUUUGGUACACUCAGACACACCACAACACUCCUAUAAAAACCACGCGCCGGAGCUUUUCUCUCCACCGCGUCGCCGCCGCAGACUAUGUCGUCAACCACCACCCCUCACGGUGGAGACUUCGACACGCCGACACUGGACAUGGAGUCAGCGGAGCUCCUCCAAACCAUAUCGGAGCACGGCGGCUACGCCUACGUGAGAAUGGCAUCGCUGGCGGCGACCGGUGACGUCCGGGCCGCGGAGGCGGCGCUGGAGAUGGCGUGGGAGCAGCUGCACUCAGGUCCGUGGCAGUCGGUGCUUCCGGUGUGGCGCGACGCGUACUCGAUGGCAUGCCUCCACGUGGCAAGGCACCACAACGGUAACGGCGAGUUCAAGGAGGCGCUUAGGGUUCUUGACAUGGGGAUCAUCAUGGGAGGGACGCUUCUCAGAAAGGAUUUGGACUCUGCGAUCGAGAAGGUUUCAGAGAGAGCCAAGAGUUCCCGUAGGGUUUCUGAGGGAAGCUUCCAAGAAGGUUCGGUCAACAACUCCGAGCAACGAAGCCUUGUUCAUCCGCAAUUUCAUGUGUCUCAGGUGCUCCAACUUUUACCUAUCAAGUCCCUUUCUUCUAAGAUUGUGGAGAAGAGAUCUGGUUUGUCGCUGGACAAGUUCUUGAAAGAUCAUUACCUGGCUGGUUCACCGGUUAUCAUCAGUGAUUGUAUGGUUCACUGGCCGGCCAAGACGAAAUGGAACAACAUAGACUAUUUACUGAGAGUUGCUGGUGAUCGUACAGUUCCCGUCGAGGUUGGCAAGAACUAUUUAUGUACAGACUGGAAGCAAGAGCUAAUCACAUUUUCAGAGUUGCUUCAGCGUAUAAAAUCCAAUGGUGGUUCUCCAGGGGGUCCUACAUAUCUUGCCCAGCAUCCAUUAUUUGAUCAAAUAAAUGAGCUUCGGAAAGAUAUCUUUAUUCCUGACUAUUGUUUUGCCGGGGGAGGGGAGCUAAGAUCUCUCAAUGCUUGGUUUGGUCCAGCUGGAACAGUAACGCCAUUACACCAUGAUCCACAUCAUAACAUACUAGCUCAGGUUGUUGGAAAGAAGUACGUUAGGCUUUACUCAGCAUCUUUGUCUGAGGAACUUUAUCCCUACUCGGAGACAAUGCGUACCAAUUCCAGCCAGGUAUUUUGUUUGUUGAACUAUAUGACUGAUUGACCUUCCAUGCAGUCUGCUUAUGACUUUUGCUUGGAAGCAUAGCACUAUGACUGCAUCCCAAUCUGAAUGGCUGAAAACUCUAGAAGUAUUUCAUUAAUGUUGACUUAGAUGACAUAGAUGAAAGGAAGUUUCCUAAAGUGCAAGACUUGGAAUUUGUAGACUGUAUUUUAGAGGAAGGUGAUAUGUUAUAUAUCCCACCAAAGUGGUGGCACUAUGUGCGGUCCCUAACUACAAGUUUCUCAGUUAGCUUCUGGUGGAGUGAGGGUGAAUGUUCAGAUGCACCCUAAUUUGGCCUCACUUUGAUGUUCUAGAAUUUCAUUCUUUCUUAGUGUAAGAACUGAGCUUGUUCCUCAUGCAUAGACAUUUUUUGGCACUUGGUUCUGGUUCUCAUCUUAAUGAUGAGAAAUAUUUGAACAAUUGACUUUGCAUCAAAUGCUGGGUUGAGUCACCAUUGAAAGAUGCAAAGUGAAUAUGCCUAUGAUUGCACCAAUGAUAUAGUAUUAAAGGACAAACGUGUAAUAGAGGUCCCCAAUUGGGUGUUAUGCACUCUAAUGCCCUUAAAUUAUUGAUCAUGAAAGUGUGUGAAACGCUGUACCAAACCUAAACUAAUCUAAUAUUUUAUUGAUUGACGUUAA
Arachis ipaensis is the source of this 1867-nucleotide RNA transcript. It is a transcript of the gene named 2-oxoglutarate (2OG) and Fe(II)-dependent oxygenase superfamily protein, with no coding region annotated. Lineage: Eukaryota; Viridiplantae; Streptophyta; Magnoliopsida; Fabales; Fabaceae. The record is from RefSeq and is a predicted model, not a curated record.